This is a long non-coding RNA of Salvelinus fontinalis (brook trout), 780 nucleotides long. RefSeq lists it as uncharacterized. The record is from RefSeq and is a predicted model, not a curated record. NCBI's taxonomy places the organism in Eukaryota, Metazoa, Chordata, Actinopteri, Salmoniformes, Salmonidae. The transcript has 4 exons.
GAGUUACUGAGCUAUUACAUGUAAGAACUACUCCCCAACACCGCUUCACUGCUAUGAGGAUGACAACACAUCAAAACGGAAUAUACUUCCCAGUAAUGUGGCAUGUAGUUCUGCCUGCUUCUAGUGAAGUUAUUUUCUCAUGAAAUAAAACAGAAGUGAAGAUCAGGAAUGUAAGAGUCUAACAGGACAGUUUCCCAGGAAGGGGUUAAGAUUAAGAGACUCCUCCUCCUACUAGUAUGUAAUGAACUCUUAGCUAAUGCAUUUCAGACAUACUCGUAUCUCAUUCUUAAUAACGUAUCUCUAAGUCAUAAGGACCCAGAGGAAGCAGUGGGAACCAGCCAGAAACACGAUCCACCACCAUCAUGAUUUCCAAUGCCGUAAAAUCCAUGUUGAAGGAAGUAGAUUCUAACGGUACCCUGAUCCCUGUGUCCAGUCUGAACGACAGCUCUGGUAAACUGAAUCUCCUCUCACUCAUUGUGAAGACCAGGCCCAGAUGUGGAUGCUUCUGGCAGGAACCGAAAUACCAGUCCAGAGGCUUUUCCCUGAGUGAUGUGCUGAAGCCUGGAAAACCUGAAGACAAACCUUUAAACCCAGGUGCCGGAGAGCUGUGACUGCACCAAGGGUAACGUGUGUGUUGUCUCUUCGUGUGCAGCAAGGUGCCGGAGAGCUGUGACUGCACCAAGGGUAACGUGUGUGUUGUCUCUUCGUGUGCAGGGCAAAUAAAAAGAUUUCAACGAGCAGACCAUCAGUUGUGGCAGCGUCUUCAUUAAGAAUUACACA